RNAcentral lists this ribosomal RNA (1740 nucleotides) under Salmonella enterica. RNAcentral's name for it is "partial 23S ribosomal RNA". It matches the Rfam family "Bacterial large subunit ribosomal RNA", at positions 1049 to 2771 of the family's 2925-position model. The record is from RNAcentral. Lineage: Bacteria; Pseudomonadati; Pseudomonadota; Gammaproteobacteria; Enterobacterales; Enterobacteriaceae.
AAAGUCAUGGUUAAGUGGGAAACGAUGUGGGAAGGCCCAGACAGCCAGGAUGUUGGCUUAGAAGCAGCCAUCAUUUAAAGAAAGCGUAAUAGCUCACUGGUCGAGUCGGCCUGCGCGGAAGAUGUAACGGGGCUAAACCAUGCACCGAAGCUGCGGCAGCGACGCUGAUGCGUUGUUGGGUAGGGGAGCGUUCUGUAAGCCUGUGAAGGUGGCCUGUGAGGGUUGCUGGAGGUAUCAGAAGUGCGAAUGCUGACAUAAGUAACGAUAAAGCGGGUGAAAAGCCCGCUCGCCGGAAGACCAAGGGUUCCUGUCCAACGUUAAUCGGGGCAGGGUGAGUCGACCCCUAAGGCGAGGCCGAAAGGCGUAGUCGAUGGGAAACGGGUUAAUAUUCCCGUACUUGGUGUUACUGCGAAGGGGGGACGGAGAAGGCUAUGUUGGCCGGGCGACGGUUGUCCCGGUUUAAGCGUGUAGGUGUGUGUUCCAGGUAAAUCCGGUUCACUUUAACACUGAGGCGUGAUGACGAGGCACUACGGUGCUGAAGCAACAAAUGCCCUGCUUCCAGGAAAAGCCUCUAAGCAUCAGGUAACAUCAAAUCGUACCCCAAACCGACACAGGUGGUCAGGUAGAGAAUACCAAGGCGCUUGAGAGAACUCGGGUGAAGGAACUAGGCAAAAUGGUGCCGUAACUUCGGGAGAAGGCACGCUGACACGUAGGUGAAGUGAUUUACUCACGGAGCUGAAGUCAGUCGAAGAUACCAGCUGGCUGCAACUGUUUAUUAAAAACACAGCACUGUGCAAACACGAAAGUGGACGUAUACGGUGUGACGCCUGCCCGGUGCCGGAAGGUUAAUUGAUGGGGUCAGCGCAAGCGAAGCUCCUGAUCGAAGCCCCGGUAAACGGCGGCCGUAACUAUAACGGUCCUAAGGUAGCGAAAUUCCUUGUCGGGUAAGUUCCGACCUGCACGAAUGGCGUAAUGAUGGCCAGGCUGUCUCCACCCGAGACUCAGUGAAAUUGAACUCGCUGUGAAGAUGCAGUGUACCCGCGGCAAGACGGAAAGACCCCGUGAACCUUUACUAUAGCUUGACACUGAACAUUGAGCCUUGAUGUGUAGGAUAGGUGGGAGGCUUUGAAGUGUGGACGCCAGUCUGCAUGGAGCCGACCUUGAAAUACCACCCUUUAAUGUUUGAUGUUCUAACGUGGACCCGUGAUCCGGGUUGCGGACAGUGUCUGGUGGGUAGUUUGACUGGGGCGGUCUCCUCCUAAAGAGUAACGGAGGAGCACGAAGGUUGGCUAAUCCUGGUCGGACAUCAGGAGGUUAGUGCAAUGGCAUAAGCCAGCUUGACUGCGAGCGUGACGGCGCGAGCAGGUGCGAAAGCAGGUCAUAGUGAUCCGGUGGUUCUGAAUGGAAGGGCCAUCGCUCAACGGAUAAAAGGUACUCCGGGGAUAACAGGCUGAUACCGCCCAAGAGUUCAUAUCGACGGCGGUGUUUGGCACCUCGAUGUCGGCUCAUCACAUCCUGGGGCUGAAGUAGGUCCCAAGGGUAUGGCUGUUCGCCAUUUAAAGUGGUACGCGAGCUGGGUUUAGAACGUCGUGAGACAGUUCGGUCCCUAUCUGCCGUGGGCGCUGGAGAACUGAGGGGGGCUGCUCCUAGUACGAGAGGACCGGAGUGGACGCAUCACUGGUGUUCGGGUUGUCAUGCCAAUGGCACUGCCCGGUAGCUAAAUGCGGAAGAGAUAAGUGC